Zingiber officinale is the source of this 991-nucleotide long non-coding RNA. RefSeq lists it as uncharacterized. The record is from RefSeq and is a predicted model, not a curated record. Lineage: Eukaryota; Viridiplantae; Streptophyta; Magnoliopsida; Zingiberales; Zingiberaceae. The transcript is spliced from 6 exons.
UGUACCUUAACCUCCUCCGCCGAAACCUCCCGUUCGUGAAAACCCUCUACCAAAUCCCUCCUCUGCGCCACCCGCACCUAGCCUCCUCCACUCCUCCCUGCCCGUCUAGCUUUCUCCUCCACUCCUCCACUCCUCCACGUCGCCUGCGACCUAACUUCCUUCACACAAAGGGGUCUUGCCGUUGCAAUAGGUUUCGUCGUUCCUCGCCGCGAAGCUGUCCUUCGCACAAAGGGGUCUCGCCGUUCCUCGUAGAUGCACCGUUCCUCCUUGCGACGCCGUCCUUCGCACAAAGGGGUUCGCCCGUAAUUAAGAAGCUCCUUCAAGCUAACUGUCAUCUGUCAUCUCCAUCGCCCGCAACCCUCGCGUGGCCAUCGUCGACGUCAGGGACUAGGAGAGGAGUUACGACGCCCACAUCGCAGGGUCACUUCGCUAUGCUAGCGGCACCUUCUCGGAGAGGAUGUCGGAUCUCCUCCACGCUGUCAAGGGCAAGGACACCCUAGUCUUUCAUUGCGCCCUCGCCCAGGUUAGACACCUCGUCUUAUGCUCCUCGUGACCUGUGGCUAUGGAAAUGCCCACUAAGUGCUUCUAAUCAGGACAUGCAACAGUAUUUGGACGAGAAUAAACAGUUGAUUCUAGCUAUUUAGACAAGCAAAAUGCUGGGAAAGCUGAAAAAUGUGUUGAGAACCAGGCUAGAUAUUUCAGAGGAAUCUCAUGAACCUUUCGGCCAUUGCAGAUAGUCAACAAGUUCCAACCAUGACUCAACUAUGCAUGAUCAUUGUGAUCAAUUAAUUGAGAAUUCUCCUUCCCAAAAGUGAUUUUUGGUAGAGGUUAGAAUCUUGGAAAUCUUGAUAAGAAUAAGACAGUCUUGUACAAUGUUUUUUUUUAAUGUUGAAAAUAAGUGUACUUGUUUACUUGUUUUCUCAGUUCCUAAGAACUAGUGAUAUAUGUAGGCAGCUUUAUCUUAAUUAUAAUAUAAUAAUUUAAUAUAUUG